RNAcentral lists this ribosomal RNA (257 nucleotides) under uncultured Glomus. RNAcentral describes it as "partial 18S ribosomal RNA". It matches the Rfam family "Eukaryotic small subunit ribosomal RNA", at positions 624 to 886 of the family's 1831-position model. Lineage: Eukaryota; Fungi; Glomeromycota; Glomeromycetes; Glomerales; Glomeraceae. The record is from RNAcentral.
AAGCUCGUAGUUGAAUUUCGGGAUUAGUACGUCGGUCGUGCCUUAGGUACGUACUGGUGUUACUGGUUCCUACCUUCUGACGAACCAUCAUGUCAUUAAUUUGGUNUGGUGGGGAAUCAGGACAGUUACUUUGAAAAAAUUAGAGUGUUUAAAGCAGGCUCGCGCUUGAAUACAUUAGCAUGGAAUAAUGAAAUAGGACGUUGAUCCUAUUUUGUUGGUUUCUAGGAUUGACGUAAUGAUUAAUAGGGAUAGUUGGG